RNAcentral lists this ribosomal RNA (425 nucleotides) under bacterium. RNAcentral describes it as "partial 16S ribosomal RNA". It matches the Rfam family "Bacterial small subunit ribosomal RNA", at positions 355 to 776 of the family's 1533-position model. The record is from RNAcentral.
UGGGGAAUAUUGCACAAUGGGCGCAAGCCUGAUGCAGCGACGCCGCGUGAGGGAUGGAGGCCUUCGGGUUGUAAACCUCUUUCGCCAGUGAAGCAGGCCAUCUUCUUUGUGGGGUGGUUGACGGUAGCUGGAUAAGAAGCGCCGGCUAACUACGUGCCAGCAGCCGCGGUAAUACGUAGGGCGCGGGCGUUGUCCGGAAUUAUUGGGCGUAAAGAGCUCGUAGGCGGCUGGUCGCGUCUGUCGUGAAAUCCCCUGGCUUAACUGGGGGCUUGCGGUGGGUACGGGCCGGCUUGAGUGCGGUAGGGGAGACUGGAAUUCCUGGUGUAGCGGUGGAAUGCGCAGAUAUCAGGAGGAACACCGGUGGCGAAGGCGGGUCUCUGGGCCGUUACUGACGCUGAGGAGCGAAAGCGUGGGGAGCGAACAGG